ACGUUGGUGGCUCAGUGGUAGCACUCUUGCCUUCCAUGUGGGAGAUCUGGGUUCGAUUCCCAGCCAGCACA
Molecule: transfer RNA, 71 nt
Filed under: Loxodonta africana (African savanna elephant)
Lineage: Eukaryota; Metazoa; Chordata; Mammalia; Proboscidea; Elephantidae
Rfam family: tRNA
About the family: Transfer RNA (tRNA) molecules are approximately 80 nucleotides in length. Their secondary structure includes four short double-helical elements and three loops (D, anti-codon, and T loops). Further hydrogen bonds mediate the characteristic L-shaped molecular structure. tRNAs have two regions of fundamental functional importance: the anti-codon, which is responsible for specific mRNA codon recognition, and the 3' end, to which the tRNAs corresponding amino acid is attached (by aminoacyl-tRNA synthetases). tRNAs cope with the degeneracy of the genetic code in two manners: having more than one tRNA (with a specific anti-codon) for a particular amino acid; and 'wobble' base-pairing, i.e. permitting non-standard base-pairing at the 3rd anti-codon position.
Source: Rfam by way of RNAcentral